ACAACGUUGCAUCAUAAUGAGAUGAAAACUGACAAGAUAACAUGCAUAACCUAGAGCUAGAGGUAUAAUGGUUAAAUUACAUGUAAUCAAUGCACCCCUUAGCUUAGCAUACACAUCACCCAUGCGUUUAUGUUCCGCCAAGAAUGCCCUCCUUUCCCUCUCACUCUCCCGAACUAGUGGCAUGAUUGUAGUACCUGAACCUGCAAGAUGAAAAAGAGUGGAACUAAAUGAAUUGCAAAAUACUUACUAGCAUGUGUCAUAAAACUAACUAAAUGAAUUCCACUUCAACUCGUUUGGAAUUGGACCUUAGACAAUGCAACAAUUUUUCAUGCGCAUAUGUACUUUCCUAAGACAAACAUGAAUGUAAUAAAGUAGCAAAAUUCGCACGCAAAUACAUGUUUGUCGUUGCAUUGAUGGUAAAAAUUAACAAAACAGAUUAUGUAAUGUAGUACUUUAAAUAAGCAUUUCACGUAAUAUUGUAUUAACAAGAAAUGAAGGUUUGAACGCUUUGGGGUCUAACGAGUGUACCAAGUAGCAUAGAAGACCCAGCCAGCAAGCCUAUGAAAACAAGAUGAGAAAAUUCAGAAGAGAAAAAUGGCAAAACUUAAGAUUACUAUAGGUGAUACGCAAGUGCUUGACUAGAAAGAUUACUUACAAAAACUUGCCAAUAAUGGUAGCAAAGAUUUACUAGUACAUUAUGAAGCUAUUUACUCAAUCAAGCAAUUUAAUUU
Molecule: long non-coding RNA, 731 nt
Filed under: Triticum aestivum (bread wheat)
Lineage: Eukaryota; Viridiplantae; Streptophyta; Magnoliopsida; Poales; Poaceae
Description: long non-coding RNA (TAES_LNC021623)
Source: RNAcentral